GACAGAGGGUGCAAACGUUGUUCGGAAUUACUGGGCGUAAAGCGCGUGUAGGCGGCUGCGUAAGUCGGGCGUGAAAUCCCAUGGCUCAACCAUGGAAGUGCACCCGAAACUGCGUAGCUAGAGUCCUGGAGAGGAAGGUGGAAUACUUGGUGUAGAGGUGAAAUUCGUAGAUAUCAAGUGGAACACCGGUGGCGAAGGCGGCCUUCUGGACAGUGACUGACGCUGAGACACGAAGGCCAGGGGAGCAAACGGG
RNAcentral lists this ribosomal RNA (253 nucleotides) under uncultured bacterium. RNAcentral's name for it is "partial 16S ribosomal RNA". It matches the Rfam family "Bacterial small subunit ribosomal RNA", at positions 524 to 776 of the family's 1533-position model. The record is from RNAcentral.